This 540-nucleotide small RNA is filed under the name Pan troglodytes (chimpanzee). RNAcentral describes it as "processed transcript". The record is from RNAcentral. Lineage: Eukaryota; Metazoa; Chordata; Mammalia; Primates; Hominidae.
GACGUAUGACCUUAGCAGACAUUGAACGGAUUGCUCCUCUGGAAGAGGGAACUCUGCCCUUUAACUUGGCUGAGGCCCAGAGGCAGAAGGCCUCAGGUGAUUCAGCUCGACCAGUUCUUCUACAAGUUGCAGAGUCGGCCUACAGGUUUGGUCUGGGUUCUGUUGCUGGAGCUGUUGGAGCCACUGCUGUGUAUCCUAUCGAUCUUGUAAAAACUCGAAUGCAGAACCAACGAUCAACUGGCUCUUUUGUGGGAGAACUCAUGUAUAAAAACAGCUUUGACUGUUUUAAGAAAGUGCUACGCUAUGAAGGCUUCUUUGGACUGUAUAGAGGUCUGUUGCCACAGUUAUUGGGAGUUGCCCCAGAGAAGGCCAUAAAACUUACAGUGAACGAUUUUGUGAGGGAUAAAUUUAUGCACAAAGAUGGUUCGGUCCCACUUGCAGCAGAAAUUCUUGCUGGAGGCUGCAUCCUGCACAAGGGCAGAGUCUACUAGGGCACCUCGGCUUUUCCUAGACAGGCGAACCAUUCCAGAGGUGGAAGGG